AGUGAACGCUGGCGGUAGGCCUAACACAUGCCAGUCGAACGGCAGCACAGUAAGAGCUUGCUCUUACGGGUGGCGAGUGGCGGACGGGUGAGGAAUACAUCGGAAUCUACUUUUUCGUGGGUGAUAACGGAGGGAAACUUACGCUAAUACCGCAUACGACCUACGGGUGAAAGCAGGGGAUCUUCGGACCUUGCGCGAUUGAAUGAGCCGAUGUCGGAUUAGCUAGUUGGCGGGGUAAAGGCCCACCAAGGCGACGAUCCGUAGCUGGUCUGAGAGGAUGAUCAGCCACACUGGAACUGAGACACGGUCCAGACUCCUAUGGGAGGCAGCAGUGGGGAAUAUUGGACAAUGGGCGCAAGCCUGAUCCAGCCAUACCGCGUGGGUGAAGAAGGCCUUCGGGUUGUAAAGCCCUUUUGUUGGGAAAGAAAAGCAGCAGGUUAAUACCCCGCUGUUCUGACGGUACCCAAAGAAUAAGCACCGGCUAACUUCGUG
This 492-nucleotide ribosomal RNA is filed under the name uncultured bacterium. Its description in RNAcentral is "partial 16S ribosomal RNA". It matches the Rfam family "Bacterial small subunit ribosomal RNA", at positions 29 to 507 of the family's 1533-position model. The record is from RNAcentral.